UGCUUGACGUAGAAACCGGUGAAUAGUUAUGGAACACUGAGCCGUUGACUGCACCAGGUGGCUGUGUUAUGAGUCAGUUGCUUUGGCAAUAAGGCACCAGACUACAGCCAUAGUUUUGAACCUAGAAUACCAAGAGACGAGAGUAGGCAAGGAGUCGAACGAGAGGGGCGAGAGGAAUGUCAAGUUGUCCAGAAAGUAUGAUCAUUAUUGCCUCGUUGUACUUUAACAACAGUCAACUGGACAUCAAGCCCUCCUAUGAGGGCUGAGCAGAGUUGAACCAUGACGUCCCUGGAGGGCAGAACACCCUGCGCCAGGUGACCAUACAUGAGAACCAGCUGUGGCAGUGCAGGGUCCAGAUCCCUGGAGACGACAAGGGGAGGCUGUCCGCCAUAUCCAACUGGUGGUCCUGGUGGCUCCCUCUGUAAAUGUAGGACAGUGCAUGGUGAAGCAGAGUACUGGACCAACAACACCCCCAGAGCAAUCCCACCUAGGACC
Molecule: long non-coding RNA, 495 nt
Organism: Oncorhynchus kisutch (coho salmon)
Lineage: Eukaryota; Metazoa; Chordata; Actinopteri; Salmoniformes; Salmonidae
Exons: 3
Source: RefSeq, a predicted model, not a curated record